AGAGUUUGAUCCUGGCUCAGAAUCAACGCUGGCGGCGUGCCUAACACAUGCAAGUCGAACGCGAAAGGGACUUCGGUCCUGAGUAGAGUGGCGAACGGGUGAGUAACGCGUGGGUGACCUACCCUCGAGUGGGGGAUAACGUUCCGAAAGGGACGCUAAUACCGCAUGACAUUCCUGGUUUGAAGACUGGGAAAUCAAAGCCGGGGACCGCAAGGCCUGGCGCUUGAGGAGGGGCCCGCGUCUGAUUAGCUAGUUGGCGGGGUAACGGCCCACCAAGGCGACGAUCAGUAGCCGGCCUGAGAGGGCGGACGGCCACACUGGGACUGAGACACGGCCCAGACUCCUACGGGAGGCAGCAGUGGGGAAUUGUUCGCAAUGGGCGCAAGCCUGACGACGCAACGCCGCGUGGAGGAUGAAGGUCUUCGGAUUGUAAACUCCUGUUGAUCGGGACGAAAAGCUUCAACCUAAUACGUUGAAGACUGACGGUACCGGUUGAGGAAGCCACGGCUAACUCUGUGCCAGCAGCCGCGGUAAUACAGAGGUGGCAAGCGUCGUUCGGAAUUACUGGGCGUAAAGGGCGCGUAGGCGGCCUUCUAAGUCGGACGUGAAAGCCCCAGGCUUAACCUGGGAACUGCGUCUGAUACUGGGAGGCUUGGAUUCGGGAGAGGGAUGUGGAAUUCCAGGUGUAGCGGUGAAAUGCGUAGAUAUCUGGAGGAACACCGGUGGCGAAGGCGGCAUCCUGGACCGAGAUCGACGCUGAGGCGCGAAAGCUAGGGGAGCAAACGGGAUUAGAUACCCUGGUAGUCC
Molecule: ribosomal RNA, 807 nt
Filed under: uncultured bacterium
Lineage: Bacteria
Description: bacterial SSU rRNA
Rfam family: Bacterial small subunit ribosomal RNA
Source: RNAcentral